AUCUAAUGCAAAGGUUAUUGGAUCUGAU
Molecule: small RNA, 28 nt
Filed under: Bombyx mori (domestic silkworm)
Lineage: Eukaryota; Metazoa; Arthropoda; Insecta; Lepidoptera; Bombycidae
Description: ovarian small RNA-12520
Source: RNAcentral